This 1341-nucleotide long non-coding RNA is filed under the name Lynx canadensis (Canada lynx). RNAcentral's name for it is "lncRNA (ENSLCNG00005012068.1)". Lineage: Eukaryota; Metazoa; Chordata; Mammalia; Carnivora; Felidae. The record is from RNAcentral.
CAGCCAUGUGCGGGGAGGGGAUGGGAAGAGGGAGGGGGUUAAAUGCUAAUGAUAUUAAUGAACCUCCAAGCGGCUCCCAAAGAAAAUGCAGGCGCUGUCGGAGCUGCCGAGUUAGAGUGUGAAUAUGGGAGUGUGGCUCUGUGCGUGCGUGAUGGUGAGGACGGUGCUGCUCUUGUAAUAAAAAUGAAUUAUUAUAUUUCAUGGCAAGGGGAAGGGGAGGGGAAAUGGAGCAUUCUCAAAACGCUUUCCCCCUUCUCUCCAGAGCGCCAGACAGAUUCGUGGAAGAAACUGGGUGGCUGUGUGUUUGUGUGAUUGUGCGCACCGGAUAUGGCCAUGUGAGUUGGUUCAUUCUUGGUCCCGUGCCCUUUCUGUUGGGUAAAACUUGGAUCUGGUCCGAGCAAAUCACAGACUUGCUCAUCUCUUCUCGACUUUUCCCUGGCCCUUGUAUUUUUCUCACAAGAGCAAACAGGAAGACUAAUGAAGCGUAUUGAUCUAAUGGAAACUUGUGACCAGAUAAAUGAUCGAAACCUGGAUUGAAACCUGGAAGAAUGCACUUGAAAACUGUGCCCUACUCAUUUUCUCCAUGCUUGUCCUUUCUCAUAACGUUUGAUAUCUUGGCCAGUGGGAGAUAUUUUGCCGUUUGUCCAUCAUUUGUCAUGUGUUAUGUGAUGGAGGGGUCUCGUAGCAGCAGAAAAAAAGAGCAGCUUGUCCUGGGCUUUCCUUUCAAAGUCCCAUUAACAGGUUGUGUGAUGCUGUGUAAAUCACUUAACUAAGCUUUCCCCAGAAAGAUGGGAGAUGGGAGGACAGAAGUUUGGCCCUAGCAAACCCCUACCUACCCCCAAACAAUCGUUAGCUCAGUUUGUAGCCUAUCAGUGUCAGUAUAUGUUAAACUGUAGGCAAAAUGAAAAAUACUGCACUCAAAUAAGGUGUGUGUUAUAAAUUGAUAAGUGGAAAGAGGAGGUGAAGGAGACAAUUAAAACACUUGUAACAUAGGCUGAAAGUUGACCAGUUAACUAAAAGGCCUUUGGUUCCAUAAACUUAAUGGAGCAGCUGAAAAAGUAGAUGUUACAGUCAUUUUUAGGACUGCAAAUCUAUUAUAUUUUAGAUUUUUUUUCAUGUACUUCUAGACCUGUAAAAUCUUAUGAUUGCUGAAUCUGAAUUUCUAAUUAUUUUUUAUUUCUGAAUCUGAAACUCACUAAUGUCUUAUUUAAUUUUGUAACAAGAACAAAUACAUAUUUGAAAAAUAAUAAUGUGGGUCACCUGGUUGGCUCGGUCGGUGGAGUGUGCAACUCUUGAUCUUGGGGUUGUGGGUUUAAGCCCCAUGUUGGGUGUACAGAUUAC